RNAcentral lists this ribosomal RNA (468 nucleotides) under uncultured bacterium. Its description in RNAcentral is "partial 16S ribosomal RNA". It matches the Rfam family "Bacterial small subunit ribosomal RNA", at positions 28 to 507 of the family's 1533-position model. The record is from RNAcentral.
GACGAACGCUGGCGGCGUGCUUAACACAUGCAAGUCGAACGGAAAGGCCCUGCUUUUGUGGGGUGCUCGAGCGGCGAGCGGGUGAGUAACACGUGAGUAACCUGCCCUUGACUUUGGGAUAACUUCAGGAAACUGGGGCUAAUACCGGAUAGGAGCUCCUGCUGCAUGGUGGGGGUUGGAAAGUUUCGGCGGUUGGGGAUGGACUCGCGGCUUAUCAGCUUGUUGGUGGGGUAGUGGCUUACCAAGGCUUUGACGGGUAGCCGGCCUGAGAGGGUGACCGGCCACAUUGGGACUGAGAUACGGCCCAGACUCCUACGGGAGGCAGCAGUGGGGAAUAUUGCACAAUGGGCGGAAGCCUGAUACAGCAACGCCGCGUGCGGGAUGACGGCCUUCGGGUUGUAAACCGCUUUCGCCUGUGACGAAGCGUGAGUGACGGUAAUGGGUAAAGAAGCACCGGCUAACUACGUG